This 482-nucleotide ribosomal RNA is filed under the name uncultured bacterium. RNAcentral's name for it is "partial 16S ribosomal RNA". It matches the Rfam family "Bacterial small subunit ribosomal RNA", at positions 30 to 507 of the family's 1533-position model. The record is from RNAcentral.
AUUGAACGCUGGCGGCAUGCCUUACACAUGCAAGUCGAACGGUAACAGGCCUUCGGAUGCUGACGAGUGGCGAACGGGUGAGUAAUACAUCGGAACGUGCCCGAUCGUGGGGGAUAACGAAGCGAAAGCUUUGCUAAUACCGCAUAAGAUCUACGGAUGAAAGCAGGGGACCGCAAGGCCUUGCGCGAACGGAGCGGCCGAUGGCAGAUUAGGUAGUUGGUGGGAUAAAAGCUUACCAAGCCGACGAUCUGUAGCUGGUCUGAGAGGACGACCAGCCACACUGGGACUGAGACACGGCCCAGACUCCUACGGGAGGCAGCAGUGGGGAAUUUUGGACAAUGGGCGAAAGCCUGAUCCAGCCAUGCCGCGUGCAGGAUGAAGGCCUUCGGGUUGUAAACUGCUUUUGUACGGAACGAAAAGACUCUGGUUAAUACCUGGGGUCCAUGACGGUACCGUAAGAAUAAGCACCGGCUAACUACGUG